RNAcentral lists this transfer RNA (68 nucleotides) under Listrura tetraradiata. RNAcentral's name for it is "tRNA-Ser". Lineage: Eukaryota; Metazoa; Chordata; Actinopteri; Siluriformes; Trichomycteridae. The record is from RNAcentral.
GAGAGAGGCCCGAAACAAUGAGGACUGCUAAUCCCCAUCCCCAUGGUUAAAAUCCAUGGCUCACUCGC